This is a long non-coding RNA of Beta vulgaris subsp. vulgaris (sugar beet), 407 nucleotides long. RefSeq lists it as uncharacterized. The transcript is spliced from 2 exons. Lineage: Eukaryota; Viridiplantae; Streptophyta; Magnoliopsida; Caryophyllales; Amaranthaceae. The record is from RefSeq and is a predicted model, not a curated record.
AAACUCAGUAUAGUUUAGUUUUCUUCUUUCUCCUAAAAUAAACCAUUUUACUUUCAACAAUGUCACCCUCUUAUGUCAAGAUAGGUCUUUUCUGUGUGCUAUGGUUUCUCAUGACAGCAGGUGCUUUCUGGACUGUUGAAGGCUCUAGAAGUUUAAUAUCACCACGUUGUAAGAAACCAAUGGACUGUGUAGCCAAUUGCCCUCGUUGCCAAUUUGUAACAUGCCUCAACACUUGGUGCGUUUGUGGUUGUGUCCCUCGAUAAUCAUGAGCUCCCAACUUCAAUUCAUUCCUCCCAUUAAGAUGUUGGCCUAAAAUUAAUAAUAAGCCAGCUAAGGCGACAAGGCCAGUCGAUAGAUGAAAACUAAAUAUUGUAACUAGUUUUCCCUAGUUGAUUCACUUUUCCUUA